RNAcentral lists this ribosomal RNA (431 nucleotides) under uncultured bacterium. Its description in RNAcentral is "partial 16S ribosomal RNA". It matches the Rfam family "Bacterial small subunit ribosomal RNA", at positions 338 to 795 of the family's 1533-position model. The record is from RNAcentral.
CCUACGGGAGGCUGCAGUAAGGAAUAUUGGUCAAUGGGCGCAAGUCUGAACCAGCCAUGCCGCGUGAAGGAUGAAGGCCUCUGGAUUGUAAACUUCUUUUAUGGGGGACGCGGUACCCCAGGAAUAAGCACCGGCUAACUCCGUGCCAGCAGCCGCGGUAAUACGGAGGGUGCAAGCGUUAUCCGGAUUCACUGGGUUUAAAGGGUGCGUAGGAGGGCAGGUAAGUCUGUGGUGAAAUCUCUGAGCUUAACUCGGAAACUGCCAUGGAUACUAUCUGUCUUGAAUAUGGUGGAGGUGAGCGGAAUAUGUCAUGUAGCGGUGAAAUGCUUAGAUAUGACAUAGAACACCGAUUGCGAAGGCAGCUCGCUACCCAUAUUGACUCUGAGGCACGAAAGCGUGGGGAUCAAACAGGAUUAGAUACCCGGGUAGUC